GGGUUGUGAGGUUAAGCGACUAAGCGUACACGGUGGAUGCCCUGGCAGUCAGAGGCGAUGAAGGGCGUGCUAAUCUGCGAUAAGCGCCGGUAAGGUGAUAUGAACCGUUAUAACCGGCGAUACCCGAAUGGGGAAACCCAGUGUGACUCGUCACACUAUCAUUAACUGAAUCCAUAGGUUAAUGAGGCGAACCGGGGGAACUGAAACAUCUAAGUACCCCGAGGAAAAGAAAUCAACCGAGAUUCCCCCAGUAGCGGCGAGCGAACGGGGAGGAGCCCAGAGCCUGAAUCAGCAUGUGUGUUAGUGGAAGCGUCUGGAAAGGCGCGCGAUACAGGGUGACAGCCCCGUACACAAAAGCGCAUGUGCUGUGAGCUCGAUGAGUAGGGCGGGACACGUGGUAUCCUGUCUGAAUAUGGGGGGACCAUCCUCCAAGGCUAAAUACUCCUGACUGACCGAUAGUGAACCAGUACCGUGAGGGAAAGGCGAAAAGAACCCCGGCGAGGGGAGUGAAAAAGAACCUGAAACCGUGUACGUACAAGCAGUGGGAGCACCCUUUGGGGUGUGACUGCGUACCUUUUGUAUAAUGGGUCAGCGACUUAUAUUCUGUAGCAAGGUUAACCGUAUAGGGGAGCCGUAGGGAAACCGAGUCUUAACCGGGCGUUAAGUUGCAGGGUAUAGACCCGAAACCCGGUGAUCUAGCCAUGGGCAGGUUGAAGGUUGGGUAACACUAACUGGAGGACCGAACCGACUAAUGUUGAAAAAUUAGCGGAUGACCUGUGGCUGGGGGUGAAAGGCCAAUCAAACCGGGAGAUAGCUGGUUCUCCCCGAAAGCUAUUUAGGUAGCGCCUCGUGAAUUCAUCUCCGGGGGUAGAGCACUGUUUCGGCUAGGGGGCCAUCCCGGCUUACCAACCCGAUGCAAACUGCGAAUACCGGAGAAUGUUAUCACGGGAGACACACGGCGGGUGCUAACGUCCGUCGUGAAGAGGGAAACAACCCAGACCGCCAGCUAAGGUCCCAAAGUCAUGGUUAAGUGGGAAACGAUGUGGGAAGGCCCAGACAGCCAGGAUGUUGGCUUAGAAGCAGCCAUCAUUUAAAGAAAGCGUAAUAGCUCACUGGUCGAGUCGGCCUGCGCGGAAGAUGUAACGGGGCUAAACCAUGCACCGAAGCUGCGGCAGCGA
This 1178-nucleotide ribosomal RNA is filed under the name Salmonella enterica subsp. enterica serovar Thompson. RNAcentral's name for it is "bacterial LSU rRNA". It matches the Rfam family "Bacterial large subunit ribosomal RNA", at positions 1 to 1211 of the family's 2925-position model. The record is from RNAcentral. Lineage: Bacteria; Pseudomonadati; Pseudomonadota; Gammaproteobacteria; Enterobacterales; Enterobacteriaceae. RNAcentral also lists the same sequence under 1 other name.